This 497-nucleotide ribosomal RNA is filed under the name uncultured bacterium. Its description in RNAcentral is "partial 16S ribosomal RNA". It matches the Rfam family "Bacterial small subunit ribosomal RNA", at positions 28 to 507 of the family's 1533-position model. The record is from RNAcentral.
GACGAACGCUGGCGGCGUGCCUAAUACAUGCAAGUUGAGCGAUGAAGAUUGGUGCUUGCACCAAUUUGAAGAGCAGCGAACGGGUGAGUAACGCGUGGGGAAUCUGCCUUUGAGCGGGGGACAACAUCUGGAAACGAAUGCUAAUACCGCAUAACAACUUUAAACAUAAGUUUUAAGUUUGAAAGAUGCAAUUGCAUCACUCAAAGAUGAUCCCGCGUUGUAUUAGCUAGUUGGUGAGGUAAAGGCUCACCAAGGCGAUGAUACAUAGCCGACCUGAGAGGGUGCUCGGCCACAUUGGGACUGAGACACGGCCCAAACUCCUACGGGAGGCAGCAGUAGGGAAUCUUCGGCAAUGGACGAAAGUCUGACCGAGCAACGCCGCGUGAGUGAAGAAGGUUUUCGGAUCGUAAAACUCUGUUGGUAGAGAAGAACGUUGGUGAGAGUGGAAAGCUCAUCAAGUGACGGUAACUACCCAGAAAGGGACGGCUAACUACGUG